This is a non-coding RNA of Microcebus murinus (gray mouse lemur), 684 nucleotides long. NCBI's taxonomy places the organism in Eukaryota, Metazoa, Chordata, Mammalia, Primates, Cheirogaleidae. The record is from RefSeq and is a predicted model, not a curated record.
GUAAAAGCAUCUGCGCAUGAAAAAAAGCCCUCUGAGAACAAUCUGCUUUGGGAGGGAAGGAACAAAGAGGUGUCGAUUGCCAUCCUUAGGGAGCCGACAGUCCUGCUGGGCAGAUAAGGUCCUGCUUUCCUUUGCUUGGAUGUGUCCUUCAACAUGACAGAGGAGACAAUCCCACACGCUCUACCCCCUACAAGCCACUGUUGAAGCUCAUCAACUCCAGUGGAAAGAGGAUUUCUUCUCUUCAAUGUCUAUUUGUUAAUUUCAGAGAAGACUCCAAACAGCUGAGCUAGUUAGUAGUUCAUGCCUAGACCAAUAAGAGUACCAAAGUCAUGGGUCCUUUUAUGAGAGGCCCAUUCAUAGUCACAUGCCAUGGAAUAGGAGAUCAUAAUUAAAAUUCCUGGUAUGAGGAAAGAGGUCAGCUGCCUCCACCCAACCCUGCAAAGGAGUGAUGGAGAGAGAAAAGCCAACAUGUGACCACAGUGAGUCCCGCCAAAGACUUUCCUUUAUUCUUCAUUCUCAGUGACCUGCCAAUGACUCCCAAAUGGAUGAGAUACUUACCAACAAUAGCAAAAUCUCAUUACUGCUCAAGUGCAAAUCGAUGUGUACAGCACUGGCCUAGAGGGCUGUCGAGCAGAGCUCAGAUCUGCAAGAGCCCUCCCUAAUUAGAAUGAGUCUUAGAGGACA